AGUUAAUUAGCUAUUAGCAAUAUAUUUUGAAAAUAUAAGAAAGAGAAUGGUUUCUCUAUUAACUU
Molecule: transfer RNA, 65 nt
Filed under: Philagra albinotata
Lineage: Eukaryota; Metazoa; Arthropoda; Insecta; Hemiptera; Aphrophoridae
Description: tRNA-Ser
Source: RNAcentral